RNAcentral lists this ribosomal RNA (392 nucleotides) under Gymnocanthus intermedius. RNAcentral's name for it is "partial 12S ribosomal RNA". It matches the Rfam family "Bacterial small subunit ribosomal RNA", at positions 937 to 1525 of the family's 1533-position model. The record is from RNAcentral. Lineage: Eukaryota; Metazoa; Chordata; Actinopteri; Perciformes; Cottidae.
GCCUGUUCUAGAACCGAUAACCCCCGUUCAACCUCACCCUUCCUUGUUUAACCCGCCUAUAUACCGCCGUCGUCAGCUUACCCUGUGAAGGACUAAUAGUAAGCAAGACUGGUACAGCCUAAAACGUCAGGUCGAGGUGUAGCGUAUGGAGGGGGAAGAAAUGGGCUACAUUCGCUACUACAGCGAACACGAAUGACCCACUGAAACACGGGUCUGAAGGAGGAUUUAGCAGUAAGCAGGAAAUAGAGCGUCCCGCUGAAACUGGCCCUGAAGCGCGCACACACCGCCCGUCACUCUCCCCAAAAACACCAAUCAUUUAACUAAGACCUAAUAAUUAAAAAGGGGAGACAAGUCGUAACAUGGUAAGUGUACCGGAAGGUGCGCUUGGAAAA